GAUGAACGCUGUCGGCGUGCCUAAUACAUUCAAGUUGAGCGAACAGACGAGGAGCUUUCUCCUCUGACUUUAUCGGCGGACGUGUGAGUAACACUUGGAUAACCUACCUAUAAGACUGGGAUAACUUCGGGAAACCGGCGCUACUACCGGAUAAUAUAUUGAACCGCAUGGUUCAAUAGUGAAAGACGGUUUUGCUGUCACUUAUAGAUUGAUCCGCGCCGCAUUAGCUAGUUGGUAAGGUAACGGCUUACCAAGGCAACGAUGCGUAGCCGACCUGAGAGGGUGAUCGGCCACACUGGAACUGAGACACGGUCCAGACUACGACGGGAGGCAGCAGUAGGGAAUCUUCCGAAAUGGGCGAAAGCCUGACGGAGCAACGCAGCGUGAGUGAUGAAGGUCUUCGGAUCGUAAAACUCUGUUAUUAGGGAAGAACAAAUGUGUAAGUAACUAUGCACGUCUUGACGGUACCUAAUCAGAAAGCCACGGCUAAAUACGUG
Molecule: ribosomal RNA, 497 nt
Filed under: uncultured bacterium
Lineage: Bacteria
Description: partial 16S ribosomal RNA
Rfam family: Bacterial small subunit ribosomal RNA
Source: RNAcentral